CGUAGGAGUAUGGGCCGUGUCUCAGUCCCAGUGUGGCCGAUCACCCUCUCAGGUCGGCUACGCAUCGUCGCCUUGGUGAGCCGUUACCUCACCAACUAGCUAAUGCGCCGCGGGCCCAUCUGUAAGUGACAGCUUACGCCGUCUUUCAGCUUUCCCUCAUGAGAGGGAAAGAAUUAUCCGGUAUUAGCUCCGGUUUCCCGAAGUUAUCCCAGUCUUACAGGCAGGUUGCCCACGUGUUACUCACCCGUCCGCCGCUAACCUUCAGGAGCAAGCUCCUAAAGAUUCGCUCGACUUGCAUGUAUUAGGCACGCCGCCAGCGUUCGUCCUGAGCCAGGAUCAAACUCUAAUCUAGAUGCAUCGCGAGUUAGA
RNAcentral lists this ribosomal RNA (369 nucleotides) under uncultured bacterium. Its description in RNAcentral is "partial 16S ribosomal RNA". The record is from RNAcentral.